AGAGUUUGAUCAUGGCUCAGGAUGAACGCUGGCGGCGUGCCUAAUACAUGCAAGUCGAACGAAGGUAGCAAUACCUUAGUGGCGAACGGGUGAGUAACACGUAGGUAACCUGCCUUUCAGUUUGGGAUAACCGAGGGAAACUUUGGCUAAUACCGAAUACGCGCUUCGAAGGCAUCUUCGAAGCAUAAAAGGGGCCUUUAAAGCCUCGCUGAUUGAUGGACCUGCGGCGCAUUAGUUAGUUGGUGAGAUAACAGCCCACCAAGACGAGGAUGCGUAGCCGACCUGAGAGGGUGAACGGCCACACUGGAACUGAGACACGGUCCAGACUCCUACGGGAGGCAGCAGUAGGGAGUUUUCGGCAAUGGGGGAAACCCUGACCGAGCAACGCCGCGUGAGUGAUGAAGGUCUUCGGAUCGUAAAGCUCUGUUAUAGAGGAAGAACGGCAACUAGAGGAAAUGCUAGUUGUUUGACGGUACUUUAUGAGAAAGCCACGGCUAACUACGUGCCAGCAGCCGCGGUAAUACGUAGGUGGCAAGCGUUAUCCGGAAUUAUUGGGCGUAAAGAGUGAGCAGGCGGCAGUUUAAGUUUGGAGUCAAAGCGAGGGGCUCAACCCCUUAACGCUCUGAAAACUGAACAGCUAGAGUGCGAGAGAGGUAAGUGGAAUUCCAUGUGUAGCGGUGAAAUGCGUAGAUAUAUGGAGGAACACCAGUGGCGAAGGCGACUUACUAGCUCGAUACUGACGCUCAGUCACGAAAGCGUGGGUAGCAAAUAGGAUUAGAUACCCUAGUAGUCCACGCUGUAAACGAUGAGAACUAAGUAUUGCCGUGAGGCAGUGCUGAAGCUAACGCAUUAAGUUCUCCGCCUGGGGAGUACGGUCGCAAGACUGAAACUUAAAUGAAUUGACGG
Molecule: ribosomal RNA, 906 nt
Filed under: uncultured bacterium
Lineage: Bacteria
Description: bacterial SSU rRNA
Rfam family: Bacterial small subunit ribosomal RNA
Source: RNAcentral